UACGAAGGGGCUAGCGUUGUUCGGAAUUACUGGGCGUAAAGGGCGCGUAGGCGGUACUUCAAGUCAGGCGUGAAAGCCCCGGGCUCAACCUGGGAAUGGCAUUUGGGACUGCAAGGCUUGAGUGCGGCAGAGGAGACUGGAAUUCCUGGUGUAGCAGUGAAAUGCGUAGAUAUCAGGAGGAAUACCGAUGGCGAAGGCAGGUCUCUGGGCUGACACUGACGCUCAUGCACGAAAGCGUGGGGAGCAAACAGG
Molecule: ribosomal RNA, 252 nt
Filed under: uncultured bacterium
Lineage: Bacteria
Description: partial 16S ribosomal RNA
Rfam family: Bacterial small subunit ribosomal RNA
Source: RNAcentral